UACGGGGGGGGCAAGCGUUGUUCGGAAUUACUGGGCGUAAAGGGCUCGUAGGCGGCCAACUAAGUCAGACGUGAAAUCCCUCAGCUUAACUGGGGAACUGCGUCUGAUACUGGAUGGCUUGGAUUCGGGAGAGGAAUGCGGAAUUCCAGGUGUAGCGGUGAAAUGCGUAGAUAUCUGGAGGAACACCGGUGGCGAAGGCGGCAUUCUGGACCAACACUGACGCUCAUGCACGAAAGCGUGGGGAGCAAACAGG
This 253-nucleotide ribosomal RNA is filed under the name uncultured bacterium. RNAcentral describes it as "partial 16S ribosomal RNA". It matches the Rfam family "Bacterial small subunit ribosomal RNA", at positions 524 to 776 of the family's 1533-position model. The record is from RNAcentral.